This is a long non-coding RNA of Ostrinia nubilalis (European corn borer), 1106 nucleotides long. RefSeq lists it as uncharacterized. The record is from RefSeq and is a predicted model, not a curated record. The transcript has 3 exons. Lineage: Eukaryota; Metazoa; Arthropoda; Insecta; Lepidoptera; Crambidae.
UUCAAUAAGAGGCUGGUUGACUCAAAUAGAACUUAUUAGAAAUAGAAAUAAAAAAUAAAAAUGAAGAAACAUUUUUAUUGUUUGUUAUUGUUGGGUUUGAUUCGGACCACAAGUCACAGGUGAUGACCGGCGCUUUUUGGAGUGUCCUUUCCUUUUUGCUUGGUUGUCCGUGCUCGCGAGUGGAGGUUCGGGUGUGCGUGGUGUCCUAGUGUCCCGAUUCCAAGGGGUCUGAACCGUGCCGAUUCCCAAAUAAACGGGCAGGGCACGCAUCGUCAUCCCCAGCGAAAAUAAGGGAAUUCAGAAAUAAAUCCGAAAGCCCCGUAAUUUUGCGGACCCACUGCCACGUGCUACGCUUAGACCCACACUUAAUCGAGAUUUUGGUUGGGCAGUGCUCGGUGGCGAGCUCUGCGCUGUGUCCUGCUUUAGCGGCUGUCGCCGGAUUUUUUCCUCCGUUGAAGGUGACGAUGGUGCCUGAGAGUCGUUCCCCGACCAUGACUGGCCGAUAUGUACACUACCGAGGCCGUCCACCACGGUCCUGGGCUACCCUACUUCAUAGGUUGGUUCCGUUUUCUAUUGAGCUUGUCAAUUAUUUUAGUUUACUUUGAAAAAGUAGAUUACCCACAAUGAUUACAUUUUACCAAAAAGUAAAUUCUUAAAUAAAUUUACCAUUGUGAUGUAUUAUCGAUGGAUUUUGUUGUGUUAACUAUUUUUAGUUCGCUUUGUGAAGGUAAAUGAUGUAAUAAUUACAAUGAUUACAUUUUACCAAAAUGUUAGUUCCUAAAUAAAUUUACCAUUGUGAUGUAUUAUCGAUGGAUUUCGUUGGGUUAACUAUUUUUAGUUCGCUUUGUGAAUGUAAAUGAUGUAAUAAUUACGAUGAUUACAUUUUACCAAAAUGUUACCUUCUAAAUAGAUUUACCAUUGUAAUGAAUUACCGUUGGAUUUUGCUGUGUUCACAUUUGCUCCAUCCUUGAGAGCGAUGGAUUGUUUUUUGUGUGUGUCGUAGUAAUUUAACUAAGCGAACACAAGUAAAUUAAUUUCUUUGUAUUAAUAUGCCUAUUACUACCUGUUUAAGCUGUAGGGUAUUAAUGCACCGGUGGUGCACUUAC